CCACAUUAUACAGUCUAAGAGUCCACUACUUAACAUUAUCUAUCUGUAUAUGUUUAAAAUUUAGGGUUAAGUAAUUUUACAAAUAAUAUAUAUAUUUUGUGUUUGAAUUUUGUUCUAAUAUAUAUUUUUGCUCCAAUAACAUCGGUAUUUGAACCCCAAUUAACAAAAAUAAGUAUUAAGUGUAUCAUAGUAGCAAACAUGCAAAUUUGUGGAAUAUGUGGAAGUAGUCACUCUCCAAUGGAUUGUGAUAUAAUUCAAAUUGUCUCUCAUAUUCCUGAUAAAAGUAUACCAUCUAAAGCUAGAUUAACUGUACCAGAAGAUUUGGAACUAAGAAAAAUGGCAGAUGGGUCUUACAAUAUAAUGGCUUUACGAACUAUUGAUAAAGGAACUCAAUUUGGUCCUUUACAAGCAAAAAAAUUAUGUACACUGUUACCUUCUAUAAAUUUCCCUGUACGUCUAUUUUAUAAUAAUGAAGGUGAUUUCUCUGAAUAUUAUUUAGAUACUAGUGAUGAGAACGAAUGUAACUGGAUGAUGUUUGUUACUCAUGCCAAAGAUUUUGAGGAACAAAACUUAAUUUGUUAUCAAGAUGGUGAAGAUAUAUAUUAUGUUACUAUUAAGGAUAUAUAUUUGAACGAGACCUUGAAAAUAUGGUAUUCUCCUUAUUAUGCAUCUAAAAUGAACAGGGAUAUUUUAAUACCAAUUAAUAAUAAUAAAAAUACUCAAAAUUUGAAAAGUAACAAUUUCAUAGAUCACUUAGUUAGAAAUAAAAGCUCGAUAGCAUCAAGGGAAGUAUGGAGUUGUAAGUUUUGUGGAAGGCUGGAGAAAAAUCUGCCAGAAUUUGCAUCACACUUAUUGCAACAUUAUAAUUUUAAAACUAAGAGAUAUUGUCACAUAUGCAAUUUUCUAUUCCGCAAAAAGGAGGGAUAUCAAAAACACAUGAAAUUCCUACAUUCAACUGAUGUAACUUUAGACUCAUCUGUACAAUUGAAUGAAAAAACUAAUUUGACUCAAAAUUGCGAUAUAAAAUUACAAAAUUUUCCAAAAGAUGCCUACAUUGGAGGACCUCUCCUAUUUAAUGAAUUGUUAAAUGACAGCAUGGAUAAUAAUGGCCUCACCCUCAAUUCUAAUAUGGAUACAAAUCACAUGGAUUUGGCAGUGAUAGAAAACCACAACAAUCUUUUUGAUAACGAAAAUUUGAAUUUAAACAUGGAAUAUAUACUCCCCGAUAAUGAAAGAGAGAUGGAUAAUUUCAAUUUUGAAUUAGCACCUCCCGAUAAUGAACAAUUUGUGUGUGAUAUUUGUCUUAAACCUUUCAAACAUUUAAAAGCUCUAAUUUGGCAUAUGAAUAUGCAUAUUGGAAAUUUCACCUGUUUUGAGUGUGAUAAGGUAUUUUCUCGAAAAGAAAAUUUGGAUUGCCACCCUUGUAAAGCUUUCUAUAAAUUGCAAUGUUCCCUCUGCGAAAAAUUGUUUUAUCAAAAGAAAUAUCUCACUCUACAUAUGAAACUUUAUCACAGCAAUUACUGUAAAUUUUGUAAACAGAUGUUUAAAACCGGGGAACUGUUGCAGGAUCAUAAUUGCCCAGAAAAAGAAAGAAGAAGCAAAAUCAAAUAUACAUGCGAUGAAUGUCAUAAAGUAUUUAAUCAUAAAACAAAUUUAAUUAUCCACAGGAAACGACACAAACAAUCGGAAAAAUAUAAUUGUCCAAUAUGUAAUAAAAUAUUGGGUUCAUAUAAGACUUAUAGGAAACAUACUAAAAUACAUGAAGGGUGUAGUUAUAAAUGUGAUAUAUGUGACAGAAUUUUUAUGAGAAGUGAUAAUUUGAAAGUACAUAAGGAAAGCGUGCAUUUUGCUGCUGGAAAGGAAACUUGUGAAAUUUGCAAGAAAUCGUUUAAAACAAAAAAUCUUCUGAAAAAACACAUAAAACUACACGACAGUACAGCUGAAGUUAAAUGUCAAUACUGUCCGUUAAAAUAUAAACAGCUUAAAUACUUGAAACAACAUAUAAAAAACCAACACAAUGUAAACAAAGUCACACAAUCUGCCACAUUAAAUAAUGAUAAACAAUAUGCUUGUCCAAAAUGUGGCAAAAAAAUGAAAUUGGAGUCUUCUGUUAAACGUCAUCUCGAAGUAUUCCACGGCGAGUCUAAAAUGGAAUACAAAUAUCUCAAGAAAGAAAAGAGAACUGAACAUAAAAAGGUUUCAAUAAGUAUAAUGCCAUUUUCUUGUCCCAAGUGUGACAAGAAAAUGAAGCAUGAGUAUUCAAUAAAACGCCACAUCGAAUCUGUUCAUCCAGACUAUAAAGGCAAAUAUAAAUCUGUAAAAACGAAAUCAGAAACCAACAAACAAGUAGAAGAAGAUGAACUGACACAAGCUUUAGAAAACAUUAACUAUAAUACCGAUGAGAUUAAUCGCGAAAUAACUAUAGAAAUUGAUAAAUUACUGAACAAUCCUGAAACAUUUACCAGCGACAGCAAUGAUAGAUUAGUGGAAAGUUUGAUUAAUACAGCAGUCGGGGAAAAUAAUUUGGAUAAUGAUGAUACUGGACAACAAAAAGAUGCUAUGUUGUCGAUGCCAGACUUGGAUUUGGAUCAUGAUUUAGAUUUAGUUAGUUGUAAGAAGACUGUUACAAUAUAAUUUUUCUAUUUUUGGAUAAGUAAAAGGGUGAAAACAAUGAAAGCAGCGCUACAGAAGACGAGGUGGACGAGGAAGAGAUUAGUGCGAAGAAGACUUAUAAAAGAAAUAAGAUAAAACGUGAUUGAGUGCAGGGGCAUGCUUACAAAAACUUCAAAGGGAAGCAGUAGCAGUCAAGACUGUCAGCAAAUCUUGCAAAAACACUGACAAAGACUCCGUUCAUUAGGGCAUACCUGAAAUACGAGAAAAGGCGUUAAGAAAUCGUCACAGUCUCCUGCUACUUCCAUGGAUACGGGUUUGUACCACCACUGGAACUGCAGUACUGUCAGAGAAGAAAGUUGCCAAUACUCCUAGGAUGCUUUGAAAACACAUUUCACUGUUUGUAACAACAUUAAGUACAUUGAACAUAAAAGAAUGGGUAGGAAGUUGGAGAGUAUCGAAUGAGCCGUCUUUCCCUGAUCAUAGAAUAAUCAUGUUCAGAUUUGAGGUAGAUUCCACUGAACCAGAAAUCUCAGUAGAAAUCCAAGGGAAAUUGAUUGAGAAAUAUGUAAUACUAAACCAAUAAUAGUAUAACUUAGGUACCAACUAAGCUCUAGAAACAACUGAAAUCAAAACAUCAUAUAAGAAAUGAUCAGAAAUGUCAUCAAAUGGUAUAUGGAUGGCUCCAAAACAGCAGUCAGUUCUGAAAUAAGAGUGUACGGGUCUAGAACUAAACCCUCUGAAAGCCUGGGUAACAAACCAAGGAUAUUUCAAGCAGAAAAUAUGACUUGAACCCUUUUGUGGUAUCAGCUACGGAACAAUAAAGCACUGGAAAAGAAGGUAGAUAGGGUUUAAAACCAAAUACUGGGCCAAUCUAUAGGAGUCGAGAUACAGGCUAAGACACUCUUAGGGUAGCUAUAACCAGUGAAGAUCUAUCGAAUGUAUAAAACUAGGCAAGAGCAACCUACGAAUACUAACAGAAGACAUGUCAGGGCACUCUCGCCUUAAUGGUUAUCUGGAGAUGCUAGAUUUGACAUAUUCUAUUUCACAGAGGGCGAAACCUCCAUUCACAUUCUCUAGAUGUGUGAAAUAUUAUGAAACUCCAGAGCACUACACCUGGAAGCAUAUGAUAUAAAAGACGAAGAUCUCUAUAACUAGAAUCAUCCUUCAUUCUGACUUUUUUAAAAGGAGUGAGAUUAGUAUAUCAUCUGUAAACACUAAGGAAUGCCACUGUCACAGCACAAAAAAAGAGACACAACAGAUAUUUUUAAUAACUGGAAGAAGAAAAGCAGAAACAAUGUACCAUCUGAAGGGACUAAUUCCUUUUAUUUGUAUAUUUUUCAAUAAAAUUAAUUUCUAUGGUAUUUUAAUAACGUUUUCUUUUAUUAAAAUUAUUUUUGGGAAGUUUGAACAAUGUUAAUUGUAGAAAGUCACAAAGUUUUUUGACUUUUUUAGAUGCAAAAUCGACCACACUAACUGAAAACUUUAUAUAUUACAAAAUGUGUAAAUCUGUCACCUAGGUAAAUGUCGUAUAAAAAUCAUAGGAAAACAUUAAAACUGAUUUAGAAGUUUUUUUAUUAUUUAGAAAUAGUAAAGUUAUUUACACACUUUAAGAUGGAAAUGAUGCAAUAAAAUGUAAAAAUUUAACAAUACGGAAUUGACAUCAUAGGUUGUCUCAUGUAUAUAAGAAUAAUGUGAAUAAACCUUUUAUAGGUUAAGUUCUUACAUUAAUACAUAAUCACGUUAAAAAUUGAAAAAUUAAAAGCUCAAUAAACAUAAUUACUAUGAUAUAUUGAAAUAACUUGAAAAAUUUGAAUCUUAAUAACAUUAAAAUGAUCCCGGCAACAAAAAUAAUUACAUCUCGUAGGAUUGUCAAAACGACAAACACUUUCAAAUCAUUUUCGUUGUAUAUUCGAAUUUUUAAGCAUCAUAAAAAAACUUUUAUCAGGUGUUUUCACAUCCUGACACAAAACCCGAUUUAUAUACCAUUUUUCAAAUUAAUUUCAAGUUAGUUGAUAAUAACGAUAAUUUAAGAAUAACCGAGAGAGUAACUGUCAUAUUUACUUUGUAAAUCAUCAUCAUUUGUUAGUGCUCAUUUUAUACCUAUGACGUCACGCAAUAUGGAGACCUUACUGAAAUGUUUAAAAUACCUACAAAAUUUUUGAAUUUUCAAUAAUUUUUCUCCCUAUAAAUAUUGAUGAGAAAAUUAAAAAAAAUACAUAUAAUAAAAGUUGUACAGUUUAUAUCCAAAAUUAUUUUAUAUUAUCUGUAUAUUUGUAAGGUAAAAGUAAACAACUACAGAAGAAAUAUUUAUUUCAAAAUAAACGAAAUAUGUUAUACCUAUUGAUACAAAAAUAAAAAUAUGCAAACA
RNA transcript from Diorhabda sublineata, 4981 nucleotides. It is a transcript of the gene named PR domain zinc finger protein 15-like, with no coding region annotated. The record is from RefSeq and is a predicted model, not a curated record. NCBI's taxonomy places the organism in Eukaryota, Metazoa, Arthropoda, Insecta, Coleoptera, Chrysomelidae. The transcript has 9 exons.